RNAcentral lists this ribosomal RNA (253 nucleotides) under uncultured bacterium. RNAcentral describes it as "partial 16S ribosomal RNA". It matches the Rfam family "Bacterial small subunit ribosomal RNA", at positions 524 to 776 of the family's 1533-position model. The record is from RNAcentral.
UACGGAGGGUGCAAGCAUUAAUCGGAUUUAUUGGGCGUAAAGGGCGCGUAGGCGGGAAUGUAAGUCGUAUGUGAAAUCCCGGGGCUCAACCCCGGAACAGCAUGUGAAACUGCAUUUCUUGAGGGUAGGCGGAGAAAACGGAAUUCCACAAGUAGCGGUGAAAUGCGUAGAUAUGUGGAAGAACACCGGUGGCGAAGGCGGUUUUCUAGCUUAUUCCUGACGCUGAGGCGCGAAAGCAAGGGGAUCAAACAGG